RNAcentral lists this unclassified non-coding RNA (1370 nucleotides) under Hevea brasiliensis (rubber tree). Lineage: Eukaryota; Viridiplantae; Streptophyta; Magnoliopsida; Malpighiales; Euphorbiaceae. The record is from RNAcentral.
GUUUACAGUCAUCUGCUUCUCUUCUCUGUUUCUGCUUUAACUAAUUACGAAUCGAUUCUCUAGUUGUUCUUGAUUAAUUAAGAGAGAUAUGGAUGUUGAUCUAACCCCAAAGUUGGCUAAGCAAAUUUAUGGAGGAGAUGGUGGUUCUUAUCAUGCAUGGUGCCCUAAUGAGCUUCCCAUGUUGAAGGAAGGAAAUAUUGGCGCUGCCAAAAUUGCUCUGUCAAAGAAUGGAUUUGCUUUGCCUCGUUACUCUGAUUCUGCUAAGGUCGCUUAUGUUCUUCAAGGCUGUGGAGUUGCUGGAAUUGUUCUUCCUGAGAAAGAAGAGAAGGUGAUAGCCAUUAAGAAGGGUGAUGCUAUUGCUCUUCCUUUUGGUGUUGUAACAUGGUGGUACAACAAAGACGAUACGGAACUUGUGCUUCUCUUCCUUGGUGAUACCAAAACUGCACACAAGGCUGGUUCCUUCACUGACAUGUACUUGACAGGCUCCAACGGGAUUUUCACUGGUUUCUCAACUGAGUUUGUUAGCAGGGCAUGGGAUGUUGAAGAGAGUGUUGCUAAGACUCUAGUUAGCUCCCAGACUGCUAAGGGGAUUGUGAAGCUGGAUGCAGGGUUCCAAAUGCCUGAGCCUAAGCAAUCCAACAGGGAUGGCAUGGUUGUCAACUGUGAGGAAGCCCCAUUGGAUGUGGAUAUCAGGGGUGGUGGAAAGGUGGUGGUUUUGAAUACCAAGAACUUGCCAUUGGUUGGUGAAGUUGGACUUGGUGCUGAUCUUGUUAGGUUGGAUGGAAGUGCUAUGUGUUCUCCCGGUUUUUCAUGUGACUCAGCCCUUCAGGUUACUUACAUUGUGAGAGGCAGUGGUCGAGUUGAGGUUGUUGGCCCUGAUGGUAAGCGUGUUCUGGAAGCACACCUCAAAGCCGGUAAUCUGUUCAUUGUUCCAAGGUUCUGUGUUGUCUCAAAAAUUGGUGAUCCUGAUGGCAUGGAUUGGUUCUCCAUCAUCACUACCCCAAAUCCAAUAUUCACUCACUUGGCUGGAAAGACUUCAACCUGGAAGGCUCUAUCCCCACAAGUGCUGCAGGCUGCUUUUAAGGUCUCACCUGAUGUGGAGAAGCUAUUCAGCUCCAAGAGAAGUGCAGAAGAGAUUUUCUUCCCGCCACCAAACUGAGUGGCUCUGGGAAUUAAUUGUGGCUCUCUUAGAUUUACUUAUCUUGUCUCCAUCUAUCUUUAUCUUUACAUAAUUUAGUUGCUCUUUUAUUUGGUUAUAAAAUAGACUUUUACUUUUAAUGCACUUUUUUUGUGCGAACGUUACAAGAAUAACGCUACUUAUUAAUUUUGUACCAUUUGAUAUUAGAAAAUGCUUGAAUUCAACUAUCAAG